RNAcentral lists this ribosomal RNA (380 nucleotides) under uncultured bacterium. Its description in RNAcentral is "bacterial SSU rRNA". It matches the Rfam family "Bacterial small subunit ribosomal RNA", at positions 30 to 409 of the family's 1533-position model. The record is from RNAcentral.
AUUGAACGCUGGCGGCAUGCCUUACACAUGCAAGUCGAACGGCAGCACGGGAGCAAUCCUGGUGGCGAGUGGCGAACGGGUGAGUAAUGUAUCGGAACGUACCUUUCAGUGGGGGAUAACGUAGCGAAAGUUACGCUAAUACCGCAUAUUCUGUGAGCAGGAAAGCAGGGGGAUCGCAAGACCUUGCGCUGAUUGAGCGGCCGAUAUCAGAUUAGCUAGUUGGUGAGGUAAAGGCUCACCAAGGCGACGAUCUGUAGCGGGUCUGAGAGGAUGAUCCGCCACACUGGAACUGAGACACGGUCCAGACUCCUACGGGAGGCAGCAGUGGGGAAUUUUGGACAAUGGGCGCAAGCCUGAUCCAGCCAUGCCGCGUGAGUGAA